AACUAUAACGGUCCUAAGGUAGCGAAAUUCCUUGUCGGGUAAGUUCCGACCCGCACGAAAGGCGCAACGAUCUGGGCACUGUCUCAACGAGAGACUCGGUGAAAUUAUAGUACCUGUGAAGAUGCAGGUUACCCGCGACAGGACGGAAAGACCCCGUGGAGCUUUACUGCAGCCGGAUAUUGAAUGUUGGUACAGCUUGUACAGGAUAGGUAGGAGCCUUGGAAACCGGAGCGCCAGCUUCGGUGGAGGCAUCGGUGGGAUACUACCCUGGCUGUAUUGACCUUCUAACCCGCCGCCCUUA
Molecule: ribosomal RNA, 301 nt
Filed under: Bacillus velezensis
Lineage: Bacteria; Bacillati; Bacillota; Bacilli; Caryophanales; Bacillaceae
Description: bacterial LSU rRNA
Rfam family: Bacterial large subunit ribosomal RNA
Source: RNAcentral